GGCCGCCUGCUGAAACUGGUAGACAGACCCGACUUAAAAUCGGGAGCCUCUGGCGUGCGGGUUCGAGUCCCGCGGCGGCCACCA
This 84-nucleotide transfer RNA is filed under the name Ancylobacter sp. SL191. RNAcentral's name for it is "tRNA-Leu". It matches the Rfam family "tRNA". Rfam says of the family: Transfer RNA (tRNA) molecules are approximately 80 nucleotides in length. RNAcentral also lists the same sequence under 1 other name. Lineage: Bacteria; Pseudomonadati; Pseudomonadota; Alphaproteobacteria; Hyphomicrobiales; Xanthobacteraceae. The record is from RNAcentral.